CAGGUUGAUAGAAAGCACAGACCAAGUUUCUGCAAAUGACACAUCUGUUGGGCUGGUGCUUGCUGAUCUAAAGACUCUCCAACUUUCCUUCGUCCGAAUGCUUCCACUGGUUUGCAAGAGGUGCAGGAUGGUCCGUUCACUUAUGAAAGGUCAAAGGCAUCGCUGACCAGCAUUUAUUGCCAGCCCAAAGAGUGGUUAAGAAGCAAUUAAGAUGUGGGUCUGGAGUCACAUGUAGGCCAGACCAGGAUGUGUGUAUCACAGGCUUGGCCAGCAUUGAAUAUUUCCCAUUAAGUGCCCAGAGGGUAACUAAGGGUCAACUAUGUUGGUAUUGUUCUGGAAUCAUAUGCAGGCCAGGCCAGGAACGGAAGGCAGAUUUCCUUCCCUAAAGGAGGUCUGGGAAGAUGGAUUGUGCAGAAGUGGGAGAAUUACCGUACCAAUCACUCAGGAUCAUGGGUGUGGAAUCUGUGCACCCCCAUCCUAACCCCCAAAUUCAGGCUAGGCCUGAUGCACUGUGCUGCUAGUAUCAAUUUGCCCUCCUACCUCCUGACAGUCAACCCAAAUGCAAAAUCAAGGCCGGCCUAAUGUCAGAAAGGAAAAGAUACAGCCAAAAAGUGACUGUGAAUGUAAAUUCAGUGAGUGACUGGAGAGGAAUUUUGAAAUGUCAUGCCUGCCUGGGGUCAGGAAACCUUCAAACAAAAAGACUGAACAAUAAAAGGUAAAGUGCUAUUGCUCUACUGGACCGUACAUCUGUUCUGAUGUUACAGCAAGACGACUGGUGAUGGUUUACCCUGAAGGUCAUAUUAUGGAACAGACCAGACUCCCCCAAAAUAUUUUAAGAAGACAGCCUAAACCAUAACGUAUUCUUACUUUAAAGGUUGAUGUGA
Molecule: long non-coding RNA, 884 nt
Organism: Stegostoma tigrinum
Lineage: Eukaryota; Metazoa; Chordata; Chondrichthyes; Orectolobiformes; Stegostomatidae
Exons: 5
Source: RefSeq, a predicted model, not a curated record